UUUUUUUUUUUUUUUUUAAAUCUCUUCAUUUCACUUGCCAUUCAGACUCUAUCUGCACGGUUUUCCAUUGCAAAUGGCGGUCCAUGUCCAGUCCGUAGAGAACUUAACCAGCAGAUGGACCGUCGCUGCCCGGUGCUGUGACUUCUGCAAAACGGCAACCGCUGCUGUGUUUUGCCGAGCUGACUCGGCUUUCCUUUGUCUCAAUUGUGACACCAAGAUCCAUGCCGCGAAUAAGCUCGUGUCCAGACACGAGCGUAUUUGGAUGUGCGAGGUUUGUGAACAAGCACCAGCUGCCGUCAACUGCAAGGCUGACGCUGCUGCCCUCUGCGUCACCUGCGAUGCAGAUAUUCACUUGGCUAAUCCUCUUGCUCGCCGUCACGAACGCGUUCCUGUUGAGCCUUUCUUCGACUCGGCUGAGUCUAUUGUUAAAUCUUCGCCGUUUAAUUUUCUAGUGCCUAGUGAUCAAAAUGGUAUCUCCGCCGGUUACCACCAGAAUCAUGAGGAUGAUGUGGAGGGUGUUUCGUGGCUGUUGCCGAAUCCUACUAACCUGAAUUCGAAAUUAGGCUUGGAAAAUCCUGAAAUGAAGGCUGACGGAGAUCUAUAUUUCCCUGAAAUGGAGCCGUUACUUGAUAUGGAGUUUCAACAGAGCCAUAGCGGGGCUACUGAUAGCGUGGUGCCUGUACAGACCAAACCAGCUUCAAUUCCAGUCAUCAACAACGAUAUCUGCUACGACGUCGAUUUCUGUAGAUCAAAGCUCUCUUCCUCCAACUACCCAACUCAGUCUCUUAGCCAAAGCGUUUCUUCGUCAUCGCUUGAUGUAGGAGUGGUUCCAGACGGGAACUCUAUGUCCGAUAUAUCGUACCCUUUUGGCCGAAACUUGAAUACUGGUACCGAUCCAAUCGCAUCCAUCUCGACUUCUACCACAAAUCAAACAGCACAGAUGUGUGGGAUUGAUCGGGAAGCUAGGGUAUUGAGGUACAGAGAGAAGAGGAAGAAUCGGAAAUUCGAAAAGACCAUACGCUACGCUUCUCGCAAAGCAUAUGCCGAAACCAGACCGAGAAUCAAAGGCCGGUUUGCGAAACGAGCUGAAAUUGAAUCCGACAUGGACCGCCUGUAUAACUCCCCCUCCUCGGUAUCUUUCGUGUCCGAUGCCCAAUACGGCGUCGUUCCAUCGUUUUGAAAACAAAAGGGUUAGGGAGUAUAAUCAUUAAUUUAUAAUUAUAAUUAUAGUUAUAAAUGAUUAUGUAGUUUGA
Molecule: unclassified non-coding RNA, 1253 nt
Filed under: Hevea brasiliensis (rubber tree)
Lineage: Eukaryota; Viridiplantae; Streptophyta; Magnoliopsida; Malpighiales; Euphorbiaceae
Source: RNAcentral